This 77-nucleotide transfer RNA is filed under the name Clostridiales bacterium. RNAcentral describes it as "tRNA-Pro". It matches the Rfam family "tRNA". From Rfam's summary of the family: Transfer RNA (tRNA) molecules are approximately 80 nucleotides in length. Their secondary structure includes four short double-helical elements and three loops (D, anti-codon, and T loops). Further hydrogen bonds mediate the characteristic L-shaped molecular structure. tRNAs have two regions of fundamental functional importance: the anti-codon, which is responsible for specific mRNA codon recognition, and the 3' end, to which the tRNAs corresponding amino acid is attached (by aminoacyl-tRNA synthetases). tRNAs cope with the degeneracy of the genetic code in two manners: having more than one tRNA (with a specific anti-codon) for a particular amino acid; and 'wobble' base-pairing, i.e. permitting non-standard base-pairing at the 3rd anti-codon position. RNAcentral also lists the same sequence under 1 other name. The record is from RNAcentral. Lineage: Bacteria; Bacillati; Bacillota; Clostridia; Eubacteriales.
CGGGGCGUGGCGCAGUUUGGUAGCGCACAUGGUUUGGGACCAUGGGGUCGGGGGUUCAAAUCCCUUCGCCCCGACCA